GACGGUCUUCUAGGCAGUGCUGCCGUCUCUGUGCCGUGAUCCCCCCGAUCUCCUCCCAUGGCUGCCGGCUCUCUCCACCCCCACAGGCCAGUUGAGGGGCCCUGGGGCAGCUAAGUCAGAGGCCUGCCCGGCUGGUGAUAAGCUGAAUGGGUGGGGCAUUUCGGACAGCGUCCAGCAUGCAUGAGUGUGCGUCUCCGCCUUGUGCGAGAGCAGCUUCCGCCGGCACCUUCCUUCACUUGGCAGCCCUUUAGUGUCCACAUGUGGUGUGCUGGGCGCUGCGCCGGGAACAGACCUGGCCCUGUCCUCUUGGAGAUCCAUGUGUGGUGGGAAACAAAAUCAACAGAAACCCUGGCUGUGGUUGUAGGUGGGCCACCAGCACUUGUCACACCUUGUCUACAGCUGCUUCGGGUCUCGCUGGGGUCUGGACAUUCCCCUAAAUUCGUGUAUUGAAACUUCAUCACCAAUGAGAUGCUAUUAAGAGGAGGAUGAAGUGGGCUGGCACUGUCUUGCAUGCAGAGAGGAGCCCUCAUCAGACACCCAUCCUACUGGCGCCUUGAUCUUGCCCUCCAGCCCCCGAAACAGAGAGAAGCACAUUCUGUUGCUUCUGAAGGGCCUAGUCUUCAGGAUUUUGUUACAGCAGCGGAAGGACUAACACAAGCCUUGAAUAAUCAUGACAAAGAUUGAUCUGGAAAAGAGAAAGUGAUUCCUCACCAGCCCUCUACAGAAAACACGUGUCCAGGCCUGCGUCUUUGGGACACAGCUGUUGGGAGUGGGGACAAUAACCGUACCCACCCCAUGGCUGUCGUGGCUGCUACAUGAAUCCCUGUCCCGCACAGAAGGUGCAGUGAAUCUGAGGCAGAGCUGCUGGGGUGGUCAGAGUGCCCCCGAUAGGCCCCUGCUCACUGGACCGUAUCAUGGAAGGCUCCUCAAAGGUGGGGAGGCAGACAGGCCGCCUGCUGUCUGGGGGUCUCACCUACUCGUUGGAAGGAAGGAGGACGUGGAGGCUGCUCCUGACCCGGCCUGAAGGGCUGCAUCUGCUAGGCCGGCCUCAGACCAGCCCUUGUUUGGCUCCUCCUCCACCUCCCCUGCGGACCCGCCACGAGUUCCAGGACAAAGGGGCCAAGCCUCAGACAGAAAGUUCCCCGAAGGUCAUAGCCAGGGAGGGACAGGGCAGGGUCCAAUCCCACUGCAUGUUGGACUUGCAGCCUUGCACCAGUGGCUGCAGAUGAGACCCCAGCUCCAACCCACAAGGCUCCAGCGCCAUUUGAGAGGUCUGUCUGGAACCAGUGCUACACGAGGUCUGCUGCACAGCCAGCUGGACCUGAGUCGGGGUUGAGUGGAAUCCUGGACGGAAGGGCCCUGCAUUGAAGAUGUGCAGGGCCGCCGAGCUGAAUGGCGUCUGCCUGACCUUAGGCUGUGUCUGGGAGCGUGAGGUGAAGAGCAGCCGGGACACCUCUGAAUCCUCAAGCUCCAGCAGCCUCCCAGGGCCCAUGAGGCAGGAGGCCCUGCUGCCUGGUCAGGGCGGUGUCCUCACAGUCCUCCACAGUCGCUGACAUCUGAUUCCCAACACUAAGCUCCCAUGGUCUCGACCCUGUGGUUUAGCUGGCCCUUCCCUGAGGCCCCCCAGGCCUCCUCGGAGCCUAUUGGACCUGAUGACAUCCCUGGAAUGGGAGAUGGAGCCAGACCCGGCCCAGACUCUCUGUCCUGCUAGACUCCUGGGAACACAGACAGAUGAGGGGAGAGGCAGCCGGCCAGCCCCCAAAUGGAGCUGGUCUCAGGUGGACCUUGGGGGGCCCAGAGCCCAUAAACUCUGGCUCUGGACAGACUCUCUGCAGAGGGCUUGCCAGUGGCCUGUAGCCAGGUCAUGGCUAUAGGUGGGAAGGCAUGGGGGGAAGGCAGACUCGUGUUUUCCUAGAGGUUGGAGGCUGCCGACCCCUAGCACACAGACCGGCAUGGUCUUGGUCGAAGUCUAGGUCUGGGGGUCUGGGAGUUCUGGGGUCGGAGGCUGGUCCACAAGGCUGGGCCCUGCACCUUGGGCCGACCGACCCUGGAGCAGCCCCACUCAGUAGUGCUGGCUGAGCUGGGGGUGCCUUUAGACCCACAUGCCUGGUGUCAAGAUCCUGGCUGUGUCAGGUGGAGGCUCCAACCUUUCCUGAGGAGUCCACAGCUGAGCGAGGGGGCCCAGGCCUGGGUGGGCAUCCGGGCGUGAGGGAUGAGUGUAUGACAGAGUGAGUGUGAGAGUGUCCCCUCUGCAGUUGGCACCAUCGCUUUCAGGGGACAGAACUCACACAAGGCUCUCUGGGUGGACUGGACUCCGGAUGGCAUUGGGAAGGGACUGUUCUGGGACAGAUGGGAGGUGGCCCAUGCCCUGCUGAGCCACACUGGCACUCACUUGGCCUCCACGUGGGGCCAGGUCUCUCUCCAGCCCCUUCCUGUUUGGGCUCUGAGGUUCGUGGAGUGAGUUCCUGGCCUGCAACCGCACUGUGAGUGGGCAGGCUUCCGUCCGCGGGUGGAGGAGCUGAUGGACCCCCGAGGGCCUGAGCUGCUAAGAGUGCCGGGUCUGGGCCCAGGUGUUGGCGACCUAGCUCCCUUCUCCGAAAUACUGCUCUCCUGCUGCCUCUGUGUGUCUGGGUGGGGAUUCCCACCGGGCACCUGCCCGGCAUCUGCCCCUCUUGCUGCUUCCAGCCGUGAGCUGGCCAUGACCACAUCAGAGUCCAUCUGCCUGGGGCAGUGGCUUAAUUGUGGGAAUUACAGUUUGAUGGAGCGAGAAGUGACUGGCAGGUGGAGGGAACUUGUCCCGGUUUUGGGCAGUGGUGCGUUUGGGCUUCAUGUGUCACUGGCCAAGACCCUCAGGGACGUUUUGCCUGCCGGAACAAGAGCAAAUCCAACAUCUCCCUGCCCUGGAGACUGGAACAGCUCCUCGAAGGGGUGGGCAGUGCCACUAGGCCUGGCUUCCAAGGGUCCCUCUGCUUGUCCUGUGACUGGGAGUCCUGACUGUCUGAGCCCACCGGGCCCAUCCACCCUCCUGCUCUUUUCCCAGGAUGUGUCCUGCCUGCCUGUGUCCCACCCAAACACCCCGGGGGCCCUUACUGCUCAGGUACAAUGGCCUCGCUCAGCAGCACCGCCUCGAGCCAUAGAGGCCUCCCAGCUCCUGCAGCCUCUGCACGUCCAGCCCUCUCUGCCUGCCCUGUGGCCCCGCUCAAAUCAAUUGCACGUGGGCUCCAGAGCGGGGACAGCCCAGGGUCUCAGCACACAGUUUGCUGUGCACGGCCCUCUCCCGGCCUGCAUCCCCUGCAGCCGUCGGCCCUCACUGGAUAAUGUGGGGUAUGGGGUGCAAAUGGAUUGGCCCACGGACUGAUUGACGGAUUGUGGCUGGCUGCAGAGCUGUGCUGGGAACGACUCUUGAGACGGCGUCUGAGCGCAGUGGGGAAGCUCCAUGCUCAGCAUCUGCAGGGGACAGGCCCCACUUCUGGCAGUGUUCUCCAGCCCCGCCCUCUUCACCUUUUCAGGACUGCCCCAUCUUAGUCCAGCAGGCAGACUGUCUGUUUGCAGAAGGCACCUCCCUCCACAGGAAGGAGAAGCAGCCUGGGGCUCCCCUUGAGGGCCUGAGGCUCUGGGCAGGUGGCUGGGUGUGCCCGGCACCCAUACUCAGCCCAGGCCCUGGUGUGAGGCAGACUCCUGUCCACUCAUGGUGUAUCUCAGACCCCUCUGUCGGGGCCUCUGGUCCAAGGGUUCAAUGCAUUUGGCCACAGCUGGAGAUCUACAGGAGAGAGAAAAGAGACUCCUGUCUCCCCGUCUUAGUGUGGUCUCUUCCUCUCUCGCUUUCCCUCUCUCUCCCUUUCUCUCUAUGUCCCUGUCUCUCUCUCUCCCUGUCUCUCUCUCUCUGUGUCCCUCUCUCCCUCUCUCUCUCUUCUUCCCUCUCUCUCUCUCUUCCUGUCUCCGCCUCUCUCUCCCUCCCUCUCUUGCUCUCCCUCCCUCUCUCUCUCUUUCUUUCCCUCUCAGUCUCUCUCUGUCUUUCUCUCUUACCCUCAAGGUUGAAGCCCCCUUGUCCAUGGGCUGCCUGUGGCCCUCAGACACCAUGUUCCGUGUUGCUGCCAUGUGACUUUCUUAAAUUGAGCUUUUUGCAGACUCCAGGAGCAGACUUGGUGGCCCUCUGCGCUCGUCCUCCCCGCUCCCUUUCUCUGGGCCCGGGCUGCACCUGUCUGGUCCCCGUGGGUGUCGUUUCCACCCCCCGUGUGCGGCUCUCAGGACACGGAGACAGGACGGGGCAGCUGACAAUGACGUGGGCUGGAGGGAAUGCAGGGAGCAGAGAGCCAGGGCUCCCACUGGGGAUGGGCAGAGCAGGUUCCUGGAGUGGGGGAGAGGGUGCCUAUGCUGGGCCUUAGCAGAGACUGAGGUCAGCUGGUGGAGGAGGCUCCGGGAAAGCCCUUCUCACCCUGAGGCCAGCACCUGGGGCACAGUCAGCAGCUCUCUGCUGUGGGUGGAAUUGUGUCCCCCCAAAAAUUGAUUGGCGUCCAAACCCCCAGAACCUGUGAACAGGACCUGAGUUGGAAGGGUCUUUACAGAUGUCGUCAAACUAGGGAUGUGGUUGUACCCUAAUCCAGUGGCUGUGUCUUUAUAAGAAGGGGGAGUUUGAGCACACGUAGGGAGCGCACCAAGUAGCCACAGAUGCCGAGACAGGACAAUGUGCCCGGGAGCCAAGCUGAGGAUGGCUGGAAGGCGGGGGUGGCCUGGAACAGAUCCCGGCCGGAGUCUCCAGAGGGACCCACCCUGCCGGCAGCUUGCUCUCAGCGUUCUGGCCUCCGGAGCUGGGAGACAGUAAGGACCCCCUGUCAGCUACCCAGCUGGUGCUGCGGCAGCCCCAUGAGACAAGCCCACCCUCCGCCCCCACUGCCGUCCCUCUUCCUCUCCUGCACGCCGACUGCUCACUCCGGCCCUGCUUCCUGCGUGUGCUGGGGCUCUUUCUGUCUCACUGAACCCCUGCAGCGGCUUCUGAGAGAGGAGCCGUGCCCAACUCUCUUUGCUCAUCUGCCACCGAGAGGCACUGUGGGGUGGUUGAAAGGGUGGCAGAGGCCACCCAGACUGCCGUCUGUCCAGUUCCCCAUGUUCCCUAUCUGUCCUCUCCUCCCAGGAGAUCCCCUGCCCUGGUCUGAGACGGGCAUGGAAGGAUGCACGUGGGGCCGCCUGUCUGUGUGGGCACCGAGCGUGGCUGCCCGCGGGAGGCGGCUCCACAGAGACUGGCAGCCCAUCUGUCAUGCCGGUCGCCACCUUUGUUCAUGGAGCAGAUACAUACCCAGAUCUGACAGCACAAUAUCAUUGCACCGCCGGCUCCCUCGGAUGCCCAGAUAAGCUGUCGAUCGGACCGGGCCCCUAGUCUCUCACUAUCCGGCUUUAUUUCGCCAUAAUAGCGGGGAAGAUGCAGUUGGUAACGACCCGUGACAGCUGCUAUAUUGAUAUUCCCAGUCUUGGGGAGAGAGAGAGGAAAAAAAAAAACAAACACUUGAUAAAAG
This is a non-coding RNA of Chlorocebus sabaeus (green monkey), 5510 nucleotides long. The record is from RefSeq and is a predicted model, not a curated record. Lineage: Eukaryota; Metazoa; Chordata; Mammalia; Primates; Cercopithecidae.